UCAAGUUAUUAAGGGUGUAGGGCGGAUGCCUUGGCACUAGGAGCCGAUGAAAGACGUGAUAAGCUGCGAUAAGCUUCGGGGAGUGGCACAUACACUUUGAUCCGGAGAUUUCUGAAUGAGGAAACUCACUUGGAGUAAUGUCCAAGUAUCCAUAGGUGAAUACAUAGCCUAUGGAGGGGAACUCAGGGAACUGAAACAUCUAAGUACCUGAAGGAAGAGAAAGAAAUUCGAUUCCGCUAGUAGCGGCGAGCGAACGCGGAAGAGCCCAAACCAAGUCAGUUUACUGAUUUGGGGUUGCGGACAUAUCUUAAGGAAAGGUUAUUGCGAGUAGAAUAGGUCUGGAAAGACCAACCAUAGAGGGUAAUAGUCCCGUACACAAAGCCAAGAAAGUUCUUGAUAUGAUCCAGAGUACCACGAGACACGUGAAACCUUGUGGGAAGCAGGGGGGACCACCCCCCAAGGCUAAAUACUACCUAGUGACCGAUAGCGAAUAGUACCGUGAGGGAAAGGUGAAAAGAACCCCGGGAGGGGAGUGAAAUAGAACCUGAAACCCUACACUUACAAGCUGUGGGAGCGCAUUAUUCGCGUGACCGCGUACUUUUUGUAGAACGGGCCAACGAGUUACGUUAUGUGGCAAGGUUAAGCACUUAAGGUGUGGAGCCGAAGCGAAAGCGAGUCUUAACUGGGCGCCAUAGUCACAUGACGUAGACCCGAAACCGGGCGACCUACCCAUGAGCAGGAUGAAGCGAAAGUAAAAUUUCGUGGAGGUCCGAACCCACGUACGUUGAAAAGUGCGGGGAUGACUUGUGGGUAGCGGUGAAAUUCCAAUCGAGCUCGGAGAUAGCUGGUUCUCCCCGAAAUAGCUUUAGGGCUAGCCUUGAAAUUUAGAGAUGUGGAGGUAGAGCACUGAAUGUCCUAGGGGGUAUUGCACUUACCGAAGACUAUCAAACUCCGAAUGCCAUUAUCUUUUGUUCAGGAGUCAGACUAUGGGUGAUAAGGUUCAUAGUCGAAAGGGAAAGAGCCCAGACCGUCAGCUAAGGUCCCUAAAUGUAUGUUAAGUGGUAAAGGAUGUGGGAUUGCACAGACAACCAGGAUGUUGGCUUAGAAGCAGCCACUCAUUUAAAGAGUGCGUAAUAGCUCACUGGUCGAGUGAUCCUGCGCCGAAGAUUUCCGGGGCUAAAACAUACUACCGAAGCUACGGCAUCAUAUGAUGAUGGGUAGGGGAGCUUCCCAUGCAGGCUGAAGCGAUACCGUAAGGAGUCGUGGACAGUAUGGGAGAGAGAAUGUUGGCAUGAGUAGCGAGAUGAGGGUGAGAAUCCCUCAGGCCGUAAACCCAAGGUUUCCAGGGGAAGGUUCGUCCUCCCUGGGUUAGUCGGGACCUAAGCUCAGGCCGAAAGGCGUAGGCGAUGGACAACAGGUUGAGAUUCCUGUACUACCGAUAAUCGUUUGAGAGAAGGGAUGACACAGUAGGAUAAGCUGAGCACACUGUUGGUUAUGUGUGUCUAAGCGUUGAGGCAGACUAGAUAGGCAAAUCCGUUUAGUUAAUGCUGGGGCGCGAUGGGGAGCGAAACUAAGUAGCGAAGCAGCUGAUUUCACACUGUCGAGAAAAGUCUCUAUCGAGAUUAAAGGUACCCGUACCGCAAACCGACACAGGUGGGUGAGGAGAGUAUCCUAAGGCCAGCGAGAGAACUGUUGUUAAGGAACUCGGCAAAAUGACCCCGUAACUUAGGGAUAAGGGGUGCCCCAGCAAUGGGGCCGCAGAGAAUUGGCCCAAGCGACUGUUUACCAAAAACAUAGGUUUCUGCUAAGUCGCAAGACGAUGUAUAGGAGCUGACGCCUGCCCGGUGCUGGAAGGUUAAGGGGAUCUGUUAGAGCAAUCGAAGCAGUGAUCUUAAGCCCCAGUAAACGGCGGCCGUAACUAUAACGGUCCUAAGGUAGCGAAAUUCCUUGUCGGGUAAGUUCCGACCCGCACGAAAGGCGUAAUGAUUUG
Molecule: ribosomal RNA, 1990 nt
Filed under: human metagenome
Description: bacterial LSU rRNA
Rfam family: Bacterial large subunit ribosomal RNA
Source: RNAcentral